AAGGGCCUGAAGGAAUAUUUUGAGAAAACAUGUUCAUUUAAGCAACAUCUAUAAGCAUGCAAUUAACAAUUAAAGGCGAAAUCAUGCUAGCAUGCACUUAAAAACAAAACAUUAACCAUGAAAUUCAAAGCCUAGUAGAUUGGUGAACCAAGAAUCAACUCAAAACAAAGUGAGUUGAAAUAUAUACCUUUGUAGAUUCCUCUUUGUAUUUAAACAAAGGUUAAUCACCCAAGAGAUAGGGCCUUCAUUCCUUGCAUCUAAGAUCCAUGGAUUUGGAUGGAUCUACACCAAGGAGAGUAUGGAUGAUAAAUGAGUGACCAUGGAAGAAUAGAUGGCUAGCUACAACUUCCAUGGUGGCCGGCCUUUCUAGAGAGAAAUGGAGAGACAAUUCUCACCAAUUUUCUCUAAAACAAACCCCUUUUUGAAAAAAAGGCUAUAAAGUCAUAUUUAUACCUUUAUUCAUUUGAGUGGCAAACUUGUAAUUAA
This 486-nucleotide long non-coding RNA is filed under the name Malus domestica (apple). Its description in RNAcentral is "long non-coding RNA (MDOM_LNC001910)". Lineage: Eukaryota; Viridiplantae; Streptophyta; Magnoliopsida; Rosales; Rosaceae. The record is from RNAcentral.